GCAGUCCAAGACAGAGAAGCCCAUAGAAGAAAAGCUCAAGAUGCAAAGAGCCCACAAAAAUACUGCCCAGCAGGGCUUGCAACGUGCUACCUAGUGGGGCCUGCAGCAGGCGGCCCAGGCCACUACUGUGCAUGCGGCCUAUCCAUGCAUGAGCUGUGUAGAGCAGUCCAUCAUGGACUGCAUGGGAUGUCGCAGUGGG
RNAcentral lists this long non-coding RNA (199 nucleotides) under Elaeis guineensis (African oil palm). RNAcentral describes it as "long non-coding RNA (EGUI_LNC012917)". The record is from RNAcentral. Lineage: Eukaryota; Viridiplantae; Streptophyta; Magnoliopsida; Arecales; Arecaceae.